This 468-nucleotide ribosomal RNA is filed under the name uncultured bacterium. RNAcentral describes it as "partial 16S ribosomal RNA". It matches the Rfam family "Bacterial small subunit ribosomal RNA", at positions 28 to 507 of the family's 1533-position model. The record is from RNAcentral.
GACGAACGCUGGCGGCGUGCUUAACACAUGCAAGUCGAACGGAAAGGCCCUGCUUUUGUGGGGUGCUCGAGUGGCGAAAGGGUGAGUAACACGUGAGUAACCUGCCCUUGACUUUGGGAUAACUUCAGGAAACUGGGGCUAAUACCGGAUAGGAGCUCCUGCUGCAUGGUGGGGGUUGGAAAGUUUCGGCGGUUGGGGAUGGACUCGCGGCUUAUCAGCUUGUUGGUGGGGUAGUGGCAUACCAAGGCUUUGACGGGUCGCCGGCCUGAGAGGGUGACCGGCCACAUUGGGACUGAGAUACGGCCCAGACUCCUACGGGAGGCAGCAGUGGGGAAUAUUGCACAAUGGGCGGAAGCCUGAUGCAGCAACGCCGCGUGCGGGAUGACGGCCUUCGGGUUGUAAACCGCUUUCGCCUGUGACGAAGCGUGAGUGACGGUAAUGGGUAAAGAAGCACUGGCUAACUACGUG